This is a long non-coding RNA of Notothenia coriiceps (black rockcod), 375 nucleotides long. RefSeq lists it as uncharacterized. The record is from RefSeq and is a predicted model, not a curated record. NCBI's taxonomy places the organism in Eukaryota, Metazoa, Chordata, Actinopteri, Perciformes, Nototheniidae. The transcript is spliced from 2 exons.
UUUUGGAUUAGACCAACCGGCUAACUCAAACAUAUCCAGGUUAGGUUGAACCGGCUUCGUAGUAUACCCCCCAGGAAAAAGUGUUAGCACAAUUGUACAUACUACUGUAAAUAGUAAUACUGUGUGUGUGUGUGUCAGAAACCAGGAAGACUGCGAGCGGCAUCAUCUACACGGUGCAGCACCCAGAGGCUCCGCCCACAAAGACACCUGGAGACACAGGUGACCCUCCUGCAGCCAAGAGAGCCAAGCCUGAUGCGUGAUUGACAGCUGAGGGGCGGGACUAAGUGAUUUAUUGUUCUAGACAUCCCUGAAUGAUCUCUUUGCAUUGAAUGUUUCUCAUGUGUUUUGUGAAUAAAGUUUUAUUUCUUUAUUGAA